CGGGAACUCAAAGGAGACUGCCAGUGAUAAACUGGAGGAAGGUGGGGAUGACGUCAAGUCAUCAUGGCCCUUACGAGUAGGGCUACACACGUGCUACAAUGGCAUAUACAAAGAGAAGCGACCUCGCGAGAGCAAGCGGACCUCAUAAAGUAUGUCGUAGUCCGGAUUGGAGUCUGCAACUCGACUCCAUGAAGUCGGAAUCGCUAGUAAUCGUAGAUCAGAAUGCUACGGUGAAUACGUUCCCGGGCCUUGUACACACCGCCCGUCACACCAUGGGAGUGGGUUGCAAAAGAAGUAGGUAGCUUAACCUUCGGGAGGGCGCUUACCACUUUGUGAUUCAUGACUGGGGUGAAGUCGUAACAAGGUAACCGUAGGGGAACCUGCGGUUGGAUCACCUCCUUA
This 402-nucleotide ribosomal RNA is filed under the name Klebsiella aerogenes. RNAcentral describes it as "bacterial SSU rRNA". It matches the Rfam family "Bacterial small subunit ribosomal RNA", at positions 1132 to 1533 of the family's 1533-position model. RNAcentral also lists the same sequence under 6 other names. The record is from RNAcentral. Lineage: Bacteria; Pseudomonadati; Pseudomonadota; Gammaproteobacteria; Enterobacterales; Enterobacteriaceae.